GGAUACCUGAACAUAAUAAGGUUGCCCUUGAUCACCAGGGUUGAUUAAGCUGAUCUGACUGGCUAGGGCACUGUCUUCUCCUCCCUCACCAUUCCAUGUACUUCCUUCCCGUGCUUCGGUCAAAGAGUAUGACUGAUUCUCCGCCUCAUAGAAGAAGACCUUCAGGAGUCUAGGAGUAGCUGUAUUUUCCUGCCAGAACCUCCAACUAAGCUGUCUAUCUAUCUUAUUUAUUAGUUUUAACAGUUUUGCACUGAAUGGGGAGGAUUUAAGGUUUUUUACCUAUAAGAACACGUCAUAUACAAGCAAUAGUGUUACAUCUUCCUGUUCAAUUUGUGUAACUUUUAUU
This 346-nucleotide small nuclear RNA is filed under the name Chinchilla lanigera (long-tailed chinchilla). Its description in RNAcentral is "7SK RNA (ENSCLAG00000021738.1)". It matches the Rfam family "7SK RNA". Rfam says of the family: 7SK was discovered as an abundant small nuclear RNA in the mid-70s but a possible function has only recently been suggested. The record is from Rfam by way of RNAcentral. Lineage: Eukaryota; Metazoa; Chordata; Mammalia; Rodentia; Chinchillidae.